GCAAGUCGAGGGAGAACCAGUUGUUCCGUAAGGAUCGGCUGGGGAAACCGGCGAACGGGUGCGUAACACGUGAGGAACCUGCCCCGAAGACUGGGAUAGCCCGAGGAAACUCGGAUUAAUACCGGAUACCCUCUUUGGACCACAUGGUCUGUUGAGGAAAUGGUCCGCCGCUUCGGGAUGGCCUCGCGGCCUAUUAGCUUGUUGGUGAGGUAAUGGCUCACCAAGGCUCCGACGGGUAGCUGGUCUGAGAGGACGAUC
Molecule: ribosomal RNA, 258 nt
Filed under: uncultured bacterium
Lineage: Bacteria
Description: partial 16S ribosomal RNA
Rfam family: Bacterial small subunit ribosomal RNA
Source: RNAcentral